This 68-nucleotide transfer RNA is filed under the name Astrospartus mediterraneus. RNAcentral describes it as "transfer RNA-Arg". The record is from RNAcentral. Lineage: Eukaryota; Metazoa; Echinodermata; Ophiuroidea; Euryalida; Gorgonocephalidae.
GAGCAGUUAGUUUAACAAAAACCAAUGAUUUCGACUCAUUAAUUCUUAAUUAUACUUAAGACUUCUCU